Molecule: transfer RNA, 90 nt
Filed under: Opitutaceae bacterium
Lineage: Bacteria; Pseudomonadati; Verrucomicrobiota; Opitutia; Opitutales; Opitutaceae
Description: tRNA-Ser
Rfam family: tRNA
About the family: Transfer RNA (tRNA) molecules are approximately 80 nucleotides in length. Their secondary structure includes four short double-helical elements and three loops (D, anti-codon, and T loops).
Source: RNAcentral
GGAGAGGUGGCAGAGUGGUCUAUCGCACCUGACUCGAAAUCAGGAGUGUCCGCAAGGGCACCGUAGGUUCAAAUCCUAUCCUCUCCGCCA